UACGUAGGGGGCAAGCGUUGUCCGGAUUUAUUGGGCGUAAAGAGCGUGUAGGCGGCCAGGUAGGUCAGCUGUGAAAACUCGAGGCUCAACCUCGAGACGUCGGUUGAAACCACCUGGCUAGAGUCCGGAAGAGGAGACUGGAAUUCCUGGUGUAGCGGUGGAAUGCGCAGAUAUCAGGAGGAACACCGGUGGCGAAGGCGGCAUUCUGGACCGAUAUUGACGCUGAGGAGCGAAAGCCAGGGGAGCGAACGGG
RNAcentral lists this ribosomal RNA (253 nucleotides) under uncultured bacterium. RNAcentral describes it as "partial 16S ribosomal RNA". It matches the Rfam family "Bacterial small subunit ribosomal RNA", at positions 524 to 776 of the family's 1533-position model. The record is from RNAcentral.